RNAcentral lists this long non-coding RNA (199 nucleotides) under Elaeis guineensis (African oil palm). Its description in RNAcentral is "long non-coding RNA (EGUI_LNC002521)". Lineage: Eukaryota; Viridiplantae; Streptophyta; Magnoliopsida; Arecales; Arecaceae. The record is from RNAcentral.
AGGGAGAUGGGGUCGGGGAGGGUGCCUGUCGACGAUUGAAGGAGACGGGGCCAGAGACAAGGCCAUUGGGGGCUGGGGAUAGGGUCGGAGAUGGGGUCUGGGAGGGUGUCAGCCGGCUGAGACGGGGUCGAAAAAAAUUAUUUGAUUAAUUAUUUAAUUAAUUAUAUUUAUUGUAUAGAUUUUUUAGUGUUACUGCUGA